GAUGAACGCUGGCGGCGUGCCUAAUACAUGCAAGUCGAGCGAACGGACGAGAAGCUUGCUUCUCUGAUGUUAGCGGCGGACGGGUGAGUAACACGUGGAUAACCUACCUAUAAGACUGGGAUAACUUCGGGAAACCGGAGCUAAUACCGGAUAAUAUUUUGAACCGCAUGGUUCAAAAGUGAAAGACGGUCUUGCUGUCACUUAUAGAUGGAUCCGCGCUGCAUUAGCUAGUUGGUAAGGUAACGGCUUACCAAGGCAACGAUGCAUAGUCGACCUGAGAGGGUGAUCGGCCACACUGGAACUGAGACACGGUCCAGACUCCUACGGGAGGCAGCAGUAGGGAAUCUUCCGCAAUGGGCAAAAGCCUGACGGAGCAACGCCGCGUGAGUGAUGAAGGUCUUCGGAUCGUAAAACUCUGUUAUUAGGGAAGAACAUAUGUGUAAGUAACUGUGCACAUCUUGACGGUACCUAAUCAGAAAGCCACGGCUAACUACGUG
This 497-nucleotide ribosomal RNA is filed under the name uncultured bacterium. Its description in RNAcentral is "partial 16S ribosomal RNA". It matches the Rfam family "Bacterial small subunit ribosomal RNA", at positions 28 to 507 of the family's 1533-position model. The record is from RNAcentral.